UUGGAUAGUGAAUAGCAGCUCCAGCUCUAAUCCUUUGGCUGGCUGACAGGAGGAAAUGUACUCUAGUAUGUGUCAUUGCUCCCUCAGAAUUACUAGGAUUGAGGAAGAACAAACAGCUACCAAGUCAGGAGGCAAGAUUAUAUACUGAUAAAACAGAGUUUGUUUUGAAUGUAAAUUAGCAUCAAGAUGAAGCUAUUUGUGCAACAACAAUCAGGAAUAUGGUUGUAGAACACACGACCCAUGAUGUCCUCAACAAAACCCAUAUCCUAUCAAGACUGUACAAGCUGCAGGGAGAGCAGACAAAUUCACUGGAUGCAUUUGAAACACCUGGAAGUGAACAGGUGACAUCUGUCUCUAGCAGGUGUGCUGCUGUACUCAAUGGUCCACACUGGAUAUGCAUGCUGAGAAAUCCAAGCUGCACAAUGAGAAAUUUGCACUGAAUUUCCUGUGAAGGCACCGCUUAUCUCUCCCACAAGGGGGCAGAACCAGAGAUUAUCACUUGCCAGCCCUGAUCCUCAGGCACAAAAGCACUUCCUAGUGUGCUGGAUAUGAACCUGCAUUCUGCUUUUAUGAACCGUGCCUUUGAAUAGUUCAGAAAGAUCCCAUCAA
Long non-coding RNA from Passer domesticus (house sparrow), 609 nucleotides. RefSeq lists it as uncharacterized. The transcript is spliced from 4 exons. NCBI's taxonomy places the organism in Eukaryota, Metazoa, Chordata, Aves, Passeriformes, Passeridae. The record is from RefSeq and is a predicted model, not a curated record.